GACGAACGCUGGCGGCGUGCCUAAUACAUGCAAGUAGAACGCUGAAGGAGGAGCUUGCUUCUCUGGAUGAGUUGCGAACGGGUGAGUAACGCGUAGGUAACCUGCCUGGUAGCGGGGGAUAACUAUUGGAAACGAUAGCUAAUACCGCAUAAGAGUAGAUGUUGCAUGACAUUUGCUUAAAAGGUGCAAUUGCAUCACUACCAGAUGGACCUGCGUUGUAUUAGCUAGUUGGUGGGGUAACGGCUCACCAAGGCGACGAUGCAUAGCCGACCUGAGAGGGUGAUCGGCCACACUGGGACUGAGACACGGCCCAGACUCCUACGGGAGGCAGCAGUAGGGAAUCUUCGGCAAUGGACGGAAGUCUGACCGAGCAACGCCGCGUGAGUGAAGAAGGUUUUCGGAUCGGAAAGCUCUGUUGUAAGAGAAGAACGAGUGUGAGAGUGGAAAGUUCACACUGUGACGGUAUCUUACCAGAAAGGGACGGCUAACUACGUG
This 495-nucleotide ribosomal RNA is filed under the name uncultured bacterium. Its description in RNAcentral is "partial 16S ribosomal RNA". It matches the Rfam family "Bacterial small subunit ribosomal RNA", at positions 28 to 507 of the family's 1533-position model. The record is from RNAcentral.